Molecule: ribosomal RNA, 465 nt
Filed under: uncultured Klebsiella sp.
Lineage: Bacteria; Pseudomonadati; Pseudomonadota; Gammaproteobacteria; Enterobacterales; Enterobacteriaceae
Description: bacterial SSU rRNA
Rfam family: Bacterial small subunit ribosomal RNA
Source: RNAcentral
CCUACGGGGGGCAGCAGUGGGGAAUAUUGCACAAUGGGCGCAAGCCUGAUGCAGCCAUGCCGCGUGUGUGAAGAAGGCCUUCGGGUUGUAAAGCACUUUCAGCGGGGAGGAAGGCGGUGAGGUUAAUAACCUCAUCGAUUGACGUUACCCGCAGAAGAAGCACCGGCUAACUCCGUGCCAGCAGCCGCGGUAAUACGGAGGGUGCAAGCGUUAAUCGGAAUUACUGGGCGUAAAGCGCACGCAGGCGGUCUGUCAAGUCGGAUGUGAAAUCCCCGGACUCAACCUGGGAACUGCAUUCGAAACUGGCAGGCUAGAGUCUUGUAGAGGGGGGUAGAAUUCCAGGUGUAGCGGUGAAAUGCGUAGAGAUCUGGAGGAAUACCGGUGGCGAAGGCGGCCCCCUGGACAAAGACUGACGCUCAGGUGCGAAAGCGUGGGGAGCAAACAGGAUUAGAUACCCGUGUAGUC